GGCUUUUGAUAGAGGCCCCUUGGUAUGGAAACCUGCUAAGUGGUAACUUCCAAAUUCAGAGAAACCCUGGAAUUAAAAAUGGGCAAUCCUGAGCCAAAUCUUUAUGUUAAGAAAACAAAGGAUAGGUGCAGAGACUCAAUGGAAGCUGUUCUAACAAAUGGAAUUGACGUUGACUACGUUGCGUUGGUAGCUGGAAUCCCUCUAUCGAAAUUACAGAAAGGAUGACCCUAUAUGCGUAUAUAUACAUACUGACAUAUCAAACGAUUAAUCACAACUCGAAUCUGGAAUCCAUAUUAUUAACUAUAACUAGUAUAUUAUAGUUAUUAUUAUAUAUAUUUUUUUAUAUUUUAAAAAAGAUAUAUUUUUAUAUAAAUUUAUAGAUUAAUUAAGAGUUAUUAUAAAUAUAUUCCAGUCGAAGUUGAAGGAAGAAUCGAAUAUUCAGUAUUCAGUGAUCAAAUCAUUCAUUCCGGAGUCGGAUAGAUCUUUUGAAAAAAUGAUUAAUCGGACGAGAAUAAAGAGAGAGUCCUGUUCUACGUGUCAAUACCGACAGCAAUGAAAUUUAUAGUAUUAGGAAAAUCCGUCGACUUUAGAAAUCGUGA
RNAcentral lists this non-coding RNA (599 nucleotides) under Colchicum speciosum. RNAcentral's name for it is "partial transfer RNA-Leu". The stretch from base 1 to 251 matches the Rfam family "Group I catalytic intron". Lineage: Eukaryota; Viridiplantae; Streptophyta; Magnoliopsida; Liliales; Colchicaceae. The record is from RNAcentral.